AUGCAAACACGGUCCUGGCCCGGAGGUCAYUGCAUGAAGCCAGCUGUCCCCGCGCUGCGCGGCGCAAGGGUUGUGCACAAAAUCCUCUGCAUCUGGGUUUGCAUCCUUUGGAGUAAAAUCCAUCUAUUGACCCUAUUACCUGUUCACCUUGAAACACUGACUGCAGCGUUUCUCAACAGCAAAUGCAAUUACUCAGCUCAYGUUUUCAUAAAGAGCCAGACAGCGGGAAAGAAUACAGAUGCCGAUUUUGCUGAGCUGAAUGCGUUUCUCCUAGCUCCGACACAAACUUGGCCCGGUUCGGACGCUCCGCUUGCCGUAGCGGGUCGCUGCAGGCACCGCCGCACGCGGCAGCACCUCAGCUCCCGGCGCCUCAAGGCCCAGAAGAAAGCGGGGGACAACGAACAGGAAAUUACGAGCGAACGAUCGAUGGGAAGAGGAAACGGCGCACCUCGAGAGAGCAGACCGCAGCGCCGUGCCGGCAGCCCUGCCCGCCGGGCUGCACGCCGAGGCGCGCUAGCUGCAAACCACCGCCCUGCCGCGAGCCUCCACCGGCUUCCUCGCCCCGUGCCUGCACUCGCGACCCUUCGCCAGGCGGGCCUGACCCAGCCASCACGCAUCCGUAGCCCCUGCUUCCCUAAGCAGCUUUGUUUUUAUUGCUGCAGGUUGCAAAAGGUGCAAAAUCCCGGUGUGCAACCGCACGGAAGAGAUUUCCCGCUUGGAAGAAAACUCCUUCCCCGAGGAGGUUCUCGCGCUUCCCGGCCGUGCGCGGUGCUGGCCGCCGGCACGAUUCCCUGCAGAGCUCCCGCGGCGCCCAGGCUGCUGCCGGGGCGAGAGCAUCGCUGGUGGUGGCGGCGCGACGGGCGCCCUGCAGCCCCGUGCACCCGCGGGAGCGCCGCGCACGCCCGCCGAGCCGCCGGCCUGCCUUUCCCCGUGCGGCGACACGCGACUUAUUUCCAGGCAGCUGAGAAUUUCAGCAGGGGACAUUUGCAGGAACGCCUGGACCGUGGCUUUGGUCGAGGCUUGAGCCAGUCUCGCGCCAGAACGGAAAGAGCAGCAAAGCAAAACCGGGAGCGUGGAAAAACGCAGCAACCCAAGGGCUCGUUAGGUGAUUCCGGCUGGUCUCGUUCACCCGAGGCGCAGGGAGCAAGAGCGCACGGACAGGAAGCACGCGGCGAUGCCUAA
Molecule: long non-coding RNA, 1182 nt
Filed under: Apteryx haastii (Great spotted kiwi)
Lineage: Eukaryota; Metazoa; Chordata; Aves; Apterygiformes; Apterygidae
Description: lncRNA (ENSAHAG00000007661.1)
Source: RNAcentral